GAUGAACGCUAGCGGCAGGCUUAAUACAUGCAAGUCGAACGGUAACGGGUCUAGCAAUAGAUGCCGACGAGUGGCGCACGGGUGCGUAACGCGUAUGCAACUUACCCUUAACUGGAGAAUAGCUCGAAGAAAUUCGGAUUAAUACUCCAUAAUAUUUUCCUACGGCAUCGUAGGAUUCUUAAAGCUCCGGCGGUUAAGGAUGGGCAUGCGUGACAUUAGUUUGUUGGUGAGGUAACGGCUCACCAAGACAACGAUGUCUAGGGGAUCUGAGAGGAUUGUCCCCCACACUGGUACUGAGACACGGACCAG
RNAcentral lists this ribosomal RNA (309 nucleotides) under uncultured bacterium. RNAcentral's name for it is "bacterial SSU rRNA". It matches the Rfam family "Bacterial small subunit ribosomal RNA", at positions 28 to 334 of the family's 1533-position model. The record is from RNAcentral.